RNAcentral lists this ribosomal RNA (434 nucleotides) under uncultured Lachnospiraceae bacterium. RNAcentral describes it as "partial 16S ribosomal RNA". It matches the Rfam family "Bacterial small subunit ribosomal RNA", at positions 341 to 792 of the family's 1533-position model. The record is from RNAcentral. Lineage: Bacteria; Bacillati; Bacillota; Clostridia; Lachnospirales; Lachnospiraceae.
ACGGGAGGCAGCAGUGGGGAAUAUUGGACAAUGGGGGAAACCCUGAUCCAGCGACGCCGCGUGAGUGAAGAAGUAUUUCGGUACGUAAAGCUCUAUCAGCAGGGAAGAUAAUGACGGUACCUGACUAAGAAGCCCCGGCUAACUACGUGCCAGCAGCCGCGGUAAUACGUAGGGGGCAGGCGUUAUCCGGAUUUACUGGGUGUAAAGGGAGCGUAGACGGCAUGGCAAGUCUGAUGUGAAAACCCGGGGCUCAACCCCGGGACUGCAUUGGAAACUGUCAGGCUAGAGUGCAGGAGAGGUAAGUGGAAUUCCUAGUGUAGCGGUGAAAUGCGUAGAUAUUAGGAGGAACACCAGUGGCGAAGGCGGCUUACUGGACUGUAACUGACGUUGAGGCUCGAAAGUGUGGGGAGCAAACAGGAUUAGAUUCCCUGGUA